AUGUUGGGGUCAAGGGCAGCCGUGACCCUGCUGGAGUGCGGGGGGGACCUCCAGCCCCCCGGGGGGUCCUUGCGCCUCCUCUGCCGAGGGUCCGGGUUCGAUUUUGGGAAAUUUGCAAUGGGCUGGAUCCGUCAGAGACCCGGGCAGGGGCUGAAAUUCAUCGCCAGCAUCAACAGUGAUGGUGGCAGCACCAGGUACGUGGAUUCAGUCCAGGGCCGGUUCAGGAUCGCCAGGGAGAACGGGCAGAGCUCGGUGGCGCUGAUCAUGAACAACCUCAAGGACGAGGAUUCCGGAUCCUAUUUCUGUGCCAAAUCUUCUGGUGUUAGCACUGCUCUUGCUGCUUUUGUUGGUGUUUGGGGCUCCGGGCGGCCGUGA
Melozone crissalis (California towhee) is the source of this 375-nucleotide non-coding RNA. The record is from the annotation of a RefSeq genome assembly. NCBI's taxonomy places the organism in Eukaryota, Metazoa, Chordata, Aves, Passeriformes, Passerellidae.